RNAcentral lists this ribosomal RNA (496 nucleotides) under uncultured bacterium. Its description in RNAcentral is "partial 16S ribosomal RNA". It matches the Rfam family "Bacterial small subunit ribosomal RNA", at positions 29 to 507 of the family's 1533-position model. The record is from RNAcentral.
AUGAACGCUGGCGGCGUGCCUAAUCCAUGCAAGUCGAGCGAACAGACGAGGAGCUUGCUCCUCUGACGUUAGCGGCGGACGGGUGAGUAACACGUGGAUAACCUACCUAUAAGACUGGGAUAACUUCGGGAAACCGGAGCUAAUACCGGAUAAUAUAUUGAACCGCAUGGUUCAAUAGUGAAAGACGGUUUUGCUGUCACUUAUAGAUGGAUCCGCGCCGCAUUAGCUAGUUGGUAAGGUAACGGCUUACCAAGGCGACGAUGCGUAGCCGACCUGAGAGGGUGAUCGGCCACACUGGAACUGAGACACGGUCCAGACUCCUACGGGAGGCAGCGGUAGGGAAUCUUCCGCAAUGGGCGAAAGCCUGACGGAGCAACGCCGCGUGAGUGAUGAAGGUCUUCGGAUCGUAAAACUCUGUUAUUAGGGAAGAACAAAUGUGUAAGUAACUAUGCACGUCUUGACGGUACCUAAUCAGAAAGCCACGGCUAACUACGUG